RNAcentral lists this ribosomal RNA (460 nucleotides) under uncultured bacterium. Its description in RNAcentral is "partial 16S ribosomal RNA". It matches the Rfam family "Bacterial small subunit ribosomal RNA", at positions 338 to 795 of the family's 1533-position model. The record is from RNAcentral.
CCUACGGGUGGCAGCAGUGAGGAAUAUUGGUCAAUGGGCGCAAGCCUGAACCAGCCAAGUCGCGUGAGGGAUGACGGUCCUAUGGAUUGUAAACCUCUUUUGUCGGGGAGCAAGGUCCGCCACGUGUGGGGGGAAGGAGAGUACCCGAAGAAAAAGCAUCGGCUAACUACGUGCCAGCAGCCGCGGUAAUACGGAGGAUGCGAGCGUUAUCCGGAUUUAUUGGGUUUAAAGGGUGCGUAGGCGGAAGGUUAAGUCAGCGGGAAAAUGUCGGUGCUCAACACCGGCAUGCCGUUGACACUGGUCGUCUUGAGUGAGCGAGAAGUAUGCGGAAUGCGGGGUGUAGCGGGGAAAUGCAUAGAUAUCACGCAGAACUCCGAUUGCGAAGGCAGCAUACCGGCGCUCAACUGACGCUGAGGCACGAAAGCGUGGGGAGCGAACAGGAUUAGAUACCCUGGUAGUC